CAAGGGUAUGGCUGUUCGCCAUUUAAAGUGGUACGCGAGCUGGGUUUAGAACGUCGUGAGACAGUUCGGUCCCUAUCUGCCGUGGGCGCUGGAGAACUGAGGGGGGCUGCUCCUAGUACGAGAGGACCGGAGUGGACGCAUCACUGGUGUUCGGGUUGUCAUGCCAAUGGCACUGCCCGGUAGCUAAAUGCGGAAGAGAUAAGUGCUGAAAGCAUCUAAGCACGAAACUUGCCCCGAGAUGAGUUCUCCCUGACCCUUUAAGGGUCCUGAAGGAACGUUGAAGACGACGACGUUGAUAGGCCGGGUGUGUAAGCGCAGCGAUGCGUUGAGCUAACCGGUACUAAUGAACCGUGAGGCUUAACCUUACAACGCCGAAGGUGUUU
This 383-nucleotide ribosomal RNA is filed under the name Escherichia coli. RNAcentral's name for it is "bacterial LSU rRNA". It matches the Rfam family "Bacterial large subunit ribosomal RNA", at positions 2566 to 2925 of the family's 2925-position model. The record is from RNAcentral. Lineage: Bacteria; Pseudomonadati; Pseudomonadota; Gammaproteobacteria; Enterobacterales; Enterobacteriaceae.